UGGGGAAUAUUGGACAAUGGGCGAAAGCCUGAUCCAGCCAUGCCGCGUGUGUGAAGAAGGUCUUCGGAUUGUAAAGCACUUUAACUUGGGAGGAAGGGCAGUAAGCGAAUACCUUGCUGUUUUGACGUUACCGACAGAAUAAGCACCGGCUAACUCUGUGCCAGCAGCCGCGGUAAUACAGAGGGUGCAAGCGUUAAUCGGAAUUACUGGGCGUAAAGCGCGCGUAGGUGGUUCGUUAAGUUGAAUGUGAAAGCCCCGGGCUCAACCUGGGAACUGCAUCAAAAACUGGCGAGCUAGAGUAGGGCAGAGGGUGGUGGAAUUUCCUGUGUAGCGGUGAAAUGCGUAGAUAUAGGAAGGAACACCAGUGGCGAAGGCGACCACCUGGGCUCAUACUGACACUGAGGUGCGAAAGCGUGGGGAGCAAACAGG
This 429-nucleotide ribosomal RNA is filed under the name Pseudomonadota bacterium. Its description in RNAcentral is "Proteobacteria bacterium partial 16S ribosomal RNA". It matches the Rfam family "Bacterial small subunit ribosomal RNA", at positions 355 to 776 of the family's 1533-position model. The record is from RNAcentral. Lineage: Bacteria; Pseudomonadati; Pseudomonadota.